This 253-nucleotide ribosomal RNA is filed under the name uncultured bacterium. Its description in RNAcentral is "partial 16S ribosomal RNA". It matches the Rfam family "Bacterial small subunit ribosomal RNA", at positions 524 to 776 of the family's 1533-position model. The record is from RNAcentral.
UACGUAGGGUGCGAGCGUUACUCGGAAUUACUGGGCGUAAAGCGUGCGCAGGCGGCUUCGCAAGUCAGACGUGAAAUCCCCGGGCUUAACCUGGGAAUGGCGUUUGAAACUACGGAGCUGGAGUGUGGCAGAGGGAGGUAGAAUUCCACGUGUAGCGGUGAAAUGCGUAGAUAUGUGGAGGAAUACCGAUGGCGAAGGCAGCCUCCUGGGCCAACACUGACGCUCAUGCACGAAAGCGUGGGGAGCAAACAGG